UGAGGGAUAUUGGUCAAUGGGCGCAAGCCUGAACCAGCGACGCCGCGUGGGUGAAGAAGGUCUUCGGAUCGUAAAGCCCUUUUCCCACUGAAGAGGAAGGACGGUAGGUGGGGAAGAAGUCUCGGCUAACUACGUGCCAGCAGCCGCGGUAAAACGUAGGAGACAAGCGUUAUCCGGAGUUACUGGGCGUAAAGGGCGUGCAGGUGGCGUCUUAAGUCUGUUGUGAAAGCGCCUGGCUUGACCGGGCGAGGCCAAUGGAGACUGAGAGGCUGGAGGACGGCGGAGGGGUGUGGAAUUCCGGGUAUAGUGGUGAAAGGCGUAGAGAUCCGGAGGAACACCAGAGGCGAAGGCGGCACUCUAAGCCGUACCUGACACUGAGACGCGACAGCACGGGGAGCAA
RNAcentral lists this ribosomal RNA (400 nucleotides) under uncultured bacterium. RNAcentral describes it as "bacterial SSU rRNA". It matches the Rfam family "Bacterial small subunit ribosomal RNA", at positions 355 to 771 of the family's 1533-position model. The record is from RNAcentral.